CUGGCUCAGGAUGAACGCUGGCGGCGUGCCUAAUACAUGCAAGUCGAGCGAACAGAUGAGGAGCUUGCUCCUUUGACGUUAGCGGCGGACGGGUGAGUAACACGUGGGUAACCUACCUAUAAGACUGGAAUAACUCCGGGAAACCGGGGCUAAUGCCGGAUAACAUGUUGAACCGCAUGGUUCAACAGUGAAAGACGGUCUUGCUGUCACUUAUAGAUGGACCCGCGCCGUAUUAGCUAGUUGGUAAGGUAACGGCUUACCAAGGCGACGAUACGUAGCCGACCUGAGAGGGUGAUCGGCCACACUGGAACUGAGACACGGUCCAGACUCCUACGGGAGGCAGCAGUAGGGAAUCUUCCGCAAUGGGCGAAAGCCUGACGGAGCAACGCCGCGUGAGUGAUGAAGGUCUUCGGAUCGUAAAGCUCUGUUGUUAGGGAAGAACAUAUGUGUAAGUAACUGUGCACAUCUUGACGGUACCUAACCAGAAAGCCACGGCUAACUACGUGCCAGCAGCCGCGGU
Molecule: ribosomal RNA, 520 nt
Filed under: Staphylococcus hyicus
Lineage: Bacteria; Bacillati; Bacillota; Bacilli; Caryophanales; Staphylococcaceae
Description: bacterial SSU rRNA
Rfam family: Bacterial small subunit ribosomal RNA
Source: RNAcentral